AGGUCAUUGAGGGUAUUUAUUCUUUUGCAAGAAAUCGUUCGGAUGCAUACGGUGAUGAUGAAUUGAACAUUGCUCAACUUCGACUGGAAAAUGAGGUGGAAUACAUUUACCAAAGCUACAACAUAUACAGUGAAUCGGCAGAAGCGGUUGGAAAUGUUGCGGGUCAUUCUCCGUAUAGCACGACUAUUACACCGCUACUAGCUGAUGAUACUUUUAAGGUUUGCACACCCGUAUAUGACCCCUUGUUCGGUAUCGACGAAUGCUGGCAAAAACAUCACUGGCAAAGGGGUUGUCAUAGCAAUCGCCGACGUAGGCGUAGAUGCCGAUCAUCCGAAAUUCCACGACAAAAUUAUGCAUGCACUUAGCUAUAAUUUCGUUGGAAAAAACACUAAUUACGGCCCGGAAAAUUAUCCUACUCGACAGGAUUCGACGAACUUAAC
Long non-coding RNA from Dreissena polymorpha, 440 nucleotides. RefSeq lists it as uncharacterized. NCBI's taxonomy places the organism in Eukaryota, Metazoa, Mollusca, Bivalvia, Myida, Dreissenidae. The transcript is spliced from 4 exons. The record is from RefSeq and is a predicted model, not a curated record.